AGCUCCCUGACUCCCUCUGAUCACAACCAGCGAUGCCAGCUGACUUUAGAGUUCCUCAUGUACUGACUGGCCCAUAGCCUAUGAACUGGAAGAGUUUUUCAAGGCCUCAUCUCAGCCCCAGGAGCCAGCCUUUGGAAACAAAGCGCCAAGACUUCAGGACACAUGUAAAACCCAAGAACUGAAAUGGAACAGAAGUCAGUCAAUGGGAGAGAUGGCUGAGUAUAUGCUGGUCCACCCACAGAAUUCCAGAAGGAACCUGGGAAAGAGUGAUGGAAGGCGGCCCACAGGAGACCCGUGAGCUAGCUUCCUCAGAGGGCAAGGCAACUGCAGAACAAAGGUAUGCAUUGAUCAGCCAACCACAAAGACCACUCGCACAUCAGACCCUGGAGAAAGAAGCCUUCCUCAGCACUAUCUGCCUUUUGCUGAGAGCCUUUUGCUGAGAGAUGAUUACUUAUACAGUAUCUUGUGGCCUGUAAACACUCUGUUCCAGAUAGUGUGUUAGAGCCUUGAGUCAAAUCAAAUGUUCAGUGAAUGGUUUCUCAGCAAAACCUGCAAGGAAUAGUCAUAAAUUUUGC
This is a long non-coding RNA of Alexandromys fortis (reed vole), 575 nucleotides long. RefSeq lists it as uncharacterized. Lineage: Eukaryota; Metazoa; Chordata; Mammalia; Rodentia; Cricetidae. The transcript is spliced from 3 exons. The record is from RefSeq and is a predicted model, not a curated record.